Mus musculus (house mouse) is the source of this 751-nucleotide long non-coding RNA. RefSeq annotates it as predicted gene, 46782. The record is from RefSeq and is a predicted model, not a curated record. The transcript is spliced from 3 exons. Lineage: Eukaryota; Metazoa; Chordata; Mammalia; Rodentia; Muridae.
GUCUGAUGGCCCCAGAAGAGCACUGACAUGAAGAGGUUUGGAGCUUGGCUGAGUCGGCAGUGUGGACCCAGGUUCUCAGAAACUUGGCACAGCUGCCCCAAGACCCCACUACAGUACCUGUUCUGCCGAGGUCAUGUCUCUGAGAGACGGUGUGUGAGCUCCUGAUACCAGCACUGGCUACUUGGCUGAAUGGCCAUCCCAAGGGCAGCUGCAGAGGUCACCCUGGACCCUGUUCUGAGCUCUGUCUAACCACGUGGAGAUUGAGACCCCACAGUUCUGUGCAUAUGAGGCUGGAGAGAACCCCUGUUCCCGGCAUCACUUUCAGGGACCCCUCCCCAAUCUUUCUUUGGACAUCUCUUACCCCAGAAACCUACUUGCCCAAAGCAAGAUGCGAAAGGGAGUCCUGAGGCGCAAGUUCCCUAGAGCUGCGGGGCAGCCAUUCUCCACCCCACCCGGGCAGUGUCCUAGGUCCUGACAAGCUUAGGAGCUACGGACAAGGGUCGGGCAGGGGUCACCAGGGGCGAGGGCACGAGGGCGAACGGAUAGCCAAGGGACCAGCUUCUAGGUGCGACCUCAGACAUGGUCCCAGCCCUGUAGCUGGUUAUUGCCCGAGUCGGGCUCUCCGCCAGCCACGGUGCGCACCGGGGCAGGGGUUCUAGUCGGCCGGCGGGCACGCGGCGCUGUCCGUGGUGCUGCCCGCGCCGGGCGGGGCGGAGGCGGGACGGAGGCGGGGCGAGGGCGCCAGCCAAUG